GAAUUUUGCGCAAUGCUCGUAAGAGUGACGCAGCGACGCCGCGUGAAUGACGAAGGCCUUCGGGUCGUAAAGCUCUGUCCUCAAGGAAGAUAAUGACGGUACUUGAGGAGGAAGCCCCGGCUAACUACGUGCCAGCAGCCGCGGUAAUACGUAGGGGGCUAGCGUUAUCCGGAAUUACUGGGCGUAAAGGGUGCGUAGGUGGUUUCUUAAGUCAGAGGUGAAAGGCUACGGCUCAACCGUAGUAAGCCUUUGAAACUGGGAAACUUGAGUGCAGGAGAGGAGAGUGGAAUUCCUAGUGUAGCGGUGAAAUGCGUAGAUAUUAGGAGGAACACCAGUUGCGAAGGCGGCUCUCUGGACUGUAACUGACACUGAGGCACGAAAGCGUGGGGAGC
RNAcentral lists this ribosomal RNA (392 nucleotides) under uncultured bacterium. RNAcentral's name for it is "bacterial SSU rRNA". It matches the Rfam family "Bacterial small subunit ribosomal RNA", at positions 359 to 769 of the family's 1533-position model. The record is from RNAcentral.